UCGAGGCUAAAUCUACUUGUAUAUAAUAUAAGAAAAAACAAUAAAAUUACAUCCUUCACAGCUGCACAACACAAAUGAUGGCUCCAAAAACAAACAAUUUGAUUAUCAUAAUUCAAAUGAAUCAAACAGAAAAUCCAUGAUCAUACAAUUAGUAACAGUUGAUGAUUCUAUGAAGGAUGAGGGGGAGGGGAGAAGGGUGAAGGUUUUG
Molecule: unclassified non-coding RNA, 208 nt
Filed under: Hevea brasiliensis (rubber tree)
Lineage: Eukaryota; Viridiplantae; Streptophyta; Magnoliopsida; Malpighiales; Euphorbiaceae
Source: RNAcentral